GACGAACGCUGGCGGCGUGCUUAACACAUGCAAGUCGAACGGAAAGGCCCUGCUUUUGUGGGGUGCUCGAGUGGCGAACGGGUGAGUAACACGUGAGUAACCUGCCCUUGACUUUGGGAUAACUUCAGGAAACUGGGGCUAAUACCGGAUAGGAGCUGCUGCUGCAUGGUGGGGGUUGGAAAGUUUGGGCGGUUGGGGAUGGACUCGCGGCUUAUCAGCUUGUUGGUGGGGGAGUGGCAUACCAAGGCUUUCACGGGUCGCCGGCCUGAGAGGGUGACCGGCCACAUUGGGACUGAGAUACGGCCCAGACUCCUACGGGAGGCAGCAGUGGGGAAUAUUGCACAAUGGGCGGAAGCCUGAUGCAGCAACGCCGCGUGCGGGAUGACGGCCUUCGGGUUGUAAACCGCUUUCGCCUGUGACGAAGCGUGAGUGACGGUAAUGGGUAAAGAAGCACCGGCUAACUACGUG
RNAcentral lists this ribosomal RNA (468 nucleotides) under uncultured bacterium. RNAcentral describes it as "partial 16S ribosomal RNA". It matches the Rfam family "Bacterial small subunit ribosomal RNA", at positions 28 to 507 of the family's 1533-position model. The record is from RNAcentral.